RNAcentral lists this ribosomal RNA (315 nucleotides) under uncultured bacterium. RNAcentral's name for it is "bacterial SSU rRNA". It matches the Rfam family "Bacterial small subunit ribosomal RNA", at positions 163 to 507 of the family's 1533-position model. The record is from RNAcentral.
CUAAUACCGCAUGUGAUCCUUCGGGAUUAAAGCCUUCGGGGCGCUAAAGGAGGGGCCUGCGUCUGAUUAGCUUGUUGGUAAGGUAAUGGCUUACCAAGGCGAUGAUCAGUAGCUGGUUCGAGAGGAUGAUCAGCCACACUGGAACUGAGAUACGGUCCAGACUCCUACGGGAGGCAGCAGUAAGGAAUCUUCCGCAAUGGACGAAAGUCUGACGGAGCAACGCCGCGUGCAGGAUGAAGGCUUUCGGGUCGUAAACUGCUUUUGUAUGGGAAGAUUAUGACGGUACCAUACGAAUAAGGACCGGCUAACUACGUG